This 82-nucleotide transfer RNA is filed under the name Helianthus annuus (common sunflower). RNAcentral's name for it is "tRNA-Met". It matches the Rfam family "tRNA". Rfam says of the family: Transfer RNA (tRNA) molecules are approximately 80 nucleotides in length. Their secondary structure includes four short double-helical elements and three loops (D, anti-codon, and T loops). Lineage: Eukaryota; Viridiplantae; Streptophyta; Magnoliopsida; Asterales; Asteraceae. The record is from RNAcentral.
GCUAAGCAUCCAUGGCUGAAUGGUUAAAGCACCCAACUCAUAAUUGGCGAAUUAGUAGGUUCAAUUCCUACCGGAUGCACGC